GACGAACGUUGGCGGCGUGGAUUAGGCAUGCAAGUCGAGCGUGAUUCUCCAGCAGUGGGGAUGAAAGCGGCGAAGGGGUUAGUAACACGUAGAUACGUGCCCCCGGGUCCGGGAUAGCGGCGGGAAACUGCCGGUAAUACCGGAUAAUGUCUUCGGACCAAAUAUUUAUUGCCCGGGGAGCGGUCUGCGUCCUAUUAGCUUGUUGGUGGGGUAAUGGCCCACCAAGGCAAAGAUGGGUAGCGGGUGUGAGAGCACGACCCGCAACAUUGGGACUGAGACACUGCCCAGACACCUACGGGUGGCUGCAGUCAAGAAUCUUCCGCAAUGGACGAAAGUCUGACGGAGCGACGCCGCGUGCGGGAUGAAGGCCUUCGGGUUGUAAACCGCUGUCGAAGGGGAGCAAAUUUGAGCGAUCCUUGGAGGAAGCACAGGCUAAAUUCGUGCCAGCAGCCGCGGUAAUACGAAUUGUGCAAACGUUAUUCGGAAUCACUGGGCUUAAAGGGUGCGUAGGCGGCCAUGAAGGUCUGAUGUGA
This 533-nucleotide ribosomal RNA is filed under the name uncultured bacterium. RNAcentral describes it as "bacterial SSU rRNA". It matches the Rfam family "Bacterial small subunit ribosomal RNA", at positions 28 to 597 of the family's 1533-position model. The record is from RNAcentral.